CAACACCCUACAAAACGAAGCUUUUGGAAGCAGUAACUAUUAACUCCAUAGCAGGUUAAAUUUGCUACUAUUGCAAAUUGGAAUAAUUUAUUUGCAAUCACUGGAUCUACAAAUAGCUAUGCCUGGAGGUUCGGUGGUGGCUGAAGGGUUCGUGACCCGAGCUGCCGGGUGGUACAGCAUAAGGUUUGCAUAAAGAAACACUUGUUUGCUGAUUCAUUCUGCAAGCCUUCCCAUCUUGAUUUUGAUUCAAUCUUGUGUACAGCUGCAUAAAGAUGGGGAAGUAGGGUCUAUCAUACACAAAACUGUUCUGAAGAAUCAAGAGAUUUUAGCAGAAUAUCCCAGCAACCAGAACUGUGCAGAUGAGUUCACUUAAGAUAUGGUUAAAUACUUUUUGCCAACCUUUAAUGAAAAACACUGUUGUAAAGCUGACAACAACAACUAAGAAAUAUAAACAUAUAUUUAAGUCAAUGAAAACUAACUAAUUAGAUGAGCUCUCUGACAUCAAUGUGAUUUGAUUAUAAAUCCAGAAAGGAAGCUUCAUUAUUAUGAAAGCUUUUCCAGUGACAUUGUAAUGAAUUGCAGCACAUCUUUGCCCAUGCUUUUUGACCCAGUGAAACACAAAAAAAAUCAUUUUGUUUAUUCUAUAACAAAUGGCUGCAUGUGUGUGAUAACACUGUAAUAAACAGCAUUGACUUGUGGAAUGUUAAGCACACUUUCUUAAUGAGAUUUUUCAUUAUUUCAAGCAAAGCAGAUGUAUUCAUAAUUUCAUCUUUGGGUGGAUAUACAAAUACUUUUACUGUAGAAAUCUAGGUUUAAGCCCCUUAGACCUUCAGUCAUACAACUCAGUUGAAUUCAAUACAGUGGACAUUUUCUGCUGUCCUCAGUGAAAAGCUUUCUUCUUAUUAUAUUUGUAUUACUGAUAUAAAUCGGCUCACAGCUCAAGCACAGAGGGUAAUAGUGAAUGGGGUAACAUCAGACUGGUGACCUGUCACUACUGGGUUUCCACAGGGCUCCAUCUUGGGCCCUGUGCUCUUCAAUAUCUUCAUAAAUGAUUUGGAUGCAGGACUAGAAGGAAUACUAAGCAAGUCUGCAGACGACACAAAACUGGGAGGAGCUGUUGACU
Corapipo altera (White-ruffed manakin) is the source of this 1123-nucleotide long non-coding RNA. RefSeq lists it as uncharacterized. NCBI's taxonomy places the organism in Eukaryota, Metazoa, Chordata, Aves, Passeriformes, Pipridae. The record is from RefSeq and is a predicted model, not a curated record. The transcript is spliced from 3 exons.